CGAGGCGCCACUGAGGUCCUUAUCAGAAUAGAAACACGAGGCCCCGUACUCGUAGGACGCCCGGUUGCAGGCCAGGACCGAGUUGGACUGUUGGUAGAAACAAGGUGAGGUGUACGUCUUGUCCGGGAGGCUCGACGCCCCGUACGAGGCCGGGAAGGGCCUCAGCGCGUCAUAGCCAGCCGGGUAGAGGGGCAGCUGGCCCAAGAAGGAGUCCUGGCCGCUGGGCAGGCUCCCGGGGAAAGUGGGAUUCACAAAAUAGGAACUCAUUUGCGCGCCCCUCUGCAGGACUGUGAUUUGUUGUGUAUUAGUACAUCUGGCUAUAACUAUUAGUAGUCAUCGAACUGGUUUGUUUCUGGAUGGCCGAACGCCAAAAGCGACAGCAGCAAAUCGCACCAGCUGACGCGGCGGCGGCCAAUGGGAGCGAGCGCUGGAGCCCGCUCCCCGGGGACCGCGGCGACCGAGGCAGCAAAGUUACAAACAGCCCCCAGCCCGCCCGCCCGCCGCCCGCCCGGCAGAUUAAUGGGCGCGCACAGCCAGCCGGCCCGGCUCUCUUUCCGAACGCCAGCGGCGGGCACGGCCCGGGCAGGGGCGUGCGAAUCAGGCCGGGGUAGGGGCACUAGAGUCCGGGCCGCCGCAAAGGCCCCGCCAGGCCCGCUCCCUCCUCCUCCCCUUCUUGCCUUUUCGGAUUUUGCUGGUUUUUCUUUCCAAACAGGAAACCUGACAGCCCCGCGCCGGGAGGGGCGGUGACCACGACGGCUUAGCUCCCGGCCGGCUUGCCCGCCCCGCAGGGCUCUGAGCGUGCCCCUCCCUCUGCACUCCCCCGCCCGUGGGUGCGGGUUCCGGGACUGAAGAAGGGGGCCUGAGAAACCAGGCCUUCACGCCCAGCUCCUCACUCCUGCGUCUUAGGAAUCCGUGCAUCCCUUCCCUCUUUCCUUCCCACUCCCACCAAGGGCCUGGGCCUCGCUACCGCCUGGAGCCGAAGGCUCACCUCGAGCUGACCAGAUCGCGGCUAAACGUCUUCCCCUGGCAGCCCCAUCCGCCCACAUACAACACGUCUCCUUUGAGUCCAGACGGGCUCCCCUCCAAUGGCCAACGACCGCCUGGCCUCAAAGCACCCCACAAGCUGUGCGUCCCCGUACCACCUUUGAACCCAGGAAUCCAGAGGCCAGAAACCACUGGUUUCAACAAGAAAGGGACCUACAAGGGAGUGGCCUGGAGACUGAGCUUCGAAGCAAAACGGGGGAACCCGCUCCCCUCACCCAGCCCUUGGGACUCGUCCUCUCAACACCCGAAGUGCUCAGAGCUGAGACAGAUCCAGAUGUGGAAUAUCUGUCCUCUUUCUGGAGGCACGGCAUCCCAAGGUCCCUGCCGAGCCAGGCAUAGAGGGCAGCUGGGACGUCCCAAAGGCUGUGGGGUAAUUGAUGUGCUUGGUUUCUGGGGUGCCCGACAGCCCGCACUUUCCUGGGGUGUACCCUCUCCCCUGCCUUUCCUGGGACUGCUGGGGGCCUGCCGGUUGCAGUUGCCCCAGUGCCGGGAACAGUUGCCUCACGGGCUCCAGGAAUCCUCUGCAUUGCUUUUGCCGUUGUCACAGGCCUGGCCUUUCCCAGACAGGAGGUGAAAAGUGUGUCCCUGGCUGCCCUUGCUUGAUAGGUGUGCCUUGGAGAUAGUUGACUUUUACAGCACAUGGAUCAAUCUCAUUUUGUAAAACGUGAUAUCUUUCCAAUGGCAUUUUUACAACUGUAUUUGUUGGGCUUGUAAAACCCUUGAAUUAGCUUUAAAAUCCUCAAUUCUGUGGAGGCUGAAGAAAGACUAUUUAUACAAUUUGGUUGAAUUUCCGGAGGAUGUUUCUAAGAUCUGUAAAACUCUGAUGAAUGCAGGCUGAUGGGGUUCAGGACUUGGGGGUGGCAAUGCCCUCCUGGAAUCUGACAACGACUUCCUUAAUCUCCUCCUUGCUUUUUGAUUUUUUUUUGCCCCUGCCCUCACUUCCCUCAAAGGGAGAAAACUGGGAAAGGACUGGGCUAAGGGUGGCCUCCACAGAACCUAGCAAGCACCCUAGAAAGUGGCUGUUGCCCACGCGAUGGGGUCUACACCCAGAAGCCUUCUCCCUGUGCCCCAAUCAAUCCACGCUGGGAAAGUUUCUCCUUUGCAUAUGUAAAAAGGGCCUGGCAGGAGAAGAGAGAAUGUAACAUUUCCCUGGAAUUUCUUCAGGGAAUGGACCCGAUAGGUGAAAAUGAAAACUCAAGUAAAAAAUUUUAAAGGGAACUAUUUUUUUUAAGGCUAUGUCCAAAGAAAAUCAUGUUUGAGUUAUUGUUUCCUACACAAGACCAUCAGAUGACAGUGACGUCAAGCAAAUUAUUAUUAUAUAAGACAAAAAUAACUGUUGGGAGAUGUUGAGAAAUGUUUACAUUUAUAAUUUCUGCUUCAUACCUCCAGGUCUCACACAGCAUUGGGAGUGAUGGCAGUUGACUACAUAUACUACUAUUGUUAUUAUUUGUUAUGGUUUGACUUAGAUUCUUGAUCUAAUAAUUACCCCCCAGACAAUGACAGAAUUUGAUUUCUCAGCUAAGAGCCAAAAACCAUUGUGUUUCUAGCUUCUAUAGGCAGUGAGACAGAAAAAAAUAAAUUAAAUUGAAAUCUCCAGGUGUUAGCCAAGGCUGGUACAUAUCAGGUUGGCAACGGCCCAAUUUAUUUCUCCAACCAGCUUUAGGUGCAUAUAUAGAGAGAGAGAGAGAGAGAGAGAGAGAGAGAGAGAGAGGCACACACACACACUCAGGCAAGAAUAGGAGCCCCAGACGCUGGAGGGAGCCUCUCCUGGGAUAGUGAGAAUGGCUAUCAGGACUCUCUCUUCUAGGUCAAAGCCACAGAGAAGGUCUACUUACCUUUCAGCUGCUCUUCAAGGGGGACUGGAUGGUGAGCAGGGCCCCACAGUCCGCCCUUUCUCUGGGCUGCCCACUCGACCUCCGCCAGCUUGGAGGGCGGCCCGCCGGUGUGUGGGGUGGACCUUGAGGGCCACCCGGGCCGCCUGGAUCUGUAGCCCAGGCCAGAGCCCAUAGCAUACAGGUGCGGCCUCUGCCUGUCAGAGGCCCUCGCCUGACGCCAAAGCCCGCCUUCCUUGCCAUAGCCAAUCCUCCUCAGGGCCAGCCAGGCCUGCAGGCCUCGGGGCCAGGAAUGGUCUCUCCGAUUUGCAAAUCCCAAAGCGGGCGCCUUCCCCGAACCAGCGUGCGCCCCGGGGACGCCUUGGGACGCGCAGUUUGGACAGAAGCAGCCAUAACGUGCCAGGCCGCCUGUGCAACCAGUCUCCAUGGCGCUGGGGGUAGGGGGAGGACCCGAGUCUAGUCGGGCUUCCAGCUCCUAUCAGGGGUGGCCAAGGCGGGGGAGGUUCCCGACAGGCCCUGGGAGGCCGCCCCUCAGGUCCUCCCUUGCCCCCCUCUGCUCGGCCUGCUUGGGAAUCUCUGAGGGGCCCGCGCAGCAGUCGCGCCAGGCUGCACGACGCGGGGCUGCGGCUGGCGUCGGUCCCGGCGACGGCCACAGCGUGGCAGCAGCGAGCGCCCAGCGCGGUCGCAAUAAAUAAUCUGCCCGCGGCAGCCGCAGUCAGGCAGCCCGCGGCCCUGCGACGCAAACGCGCAGCUUUAUCCUCCCUGAGUGCACCCACAGCGCCGGUGGACGUCCCAAACAUCUACAGCCCCUUCUUAAUUUUCUAAUGCACACCAAGGUAUUAUCUUAAGGUGGAAAAACAACAACAACGACCAGAACCACAGAACAAACAAAAAGAACUCGAGCCCAGAACCUCAGGAUCCUUUCUGGUCGCAGUCCCAGGAAGCUCCCGGGGCAAAUCUGGCCGACGCGCACCCAGGCCAAGCAACGGUCUGUGCCACCGCUCCACAUAAAGUCAGUGCCCACGGUACCCUCCGUGCCUCCCGGGCGGCUUCACAGUCCCCUCCCGGCUCGCGGAAAGUGGGGCGCGCGGUCGGCGGCCCGCUGCGCCGAUGUGGGGGUGGUGGGGUCCCCCUAUCGCCCAGACGCGGUUUGCGUCCUUCUUUCAACCUUAGCUGCGGGCCCCUGCCACUCUCAAUAACACCAGCACAUUCUCUGCACCGAAACUUCCCGCCAAGCAACACCCAGCCAAUUAACCCCAUCCUCUCCUCCAACACAGAGUUCCACCCACGCACCUAGUCCCUCUCCCCGCGCUUCAGACACAUCUGUCAUCGGAAAACCGCGUGAAAGGAAGCAGGCAAUCAGCAGAAGAACCUGGCCGAAUUAGUAAGUUUUUGUUUGUUUGUUUUUUUUCCCCCUCAUUCUACCUUUCUCUCCAGAAACCGAGUCCCUCAGAAUAGAAGGUGCUGUGUUGACACUAAUAAAAAAGCAGGUCGAUUAAUUCACUUUGCCCUCACCUCUUCCCACCUCCCCAGGUCGGGAACUGUCUUCAAUUGUUGGGAAAUUCAACCGAGCCAACUGGGUCAUGAAUGAAAAAAAAAAAAAAAUCCAAACCCGGGAGAUUGGCAAGGAACGCGGAGGGCAGGGCCACUUCUUUUUGGGCUCGGCAAGGUCGCUGGGGAAGAGGGGAGAGACCUCAGUGCUCCUGCCCCAUGCCAGGGCGCUGUGCCACUGAAAGGAGGCUGGCAUUCACUGCCAUGGUGAGCAAGAGAGAGGAGAGAGGGAGAGUGUGUGUGUGUGUGCGCGCGCGCGCGCACGUGUGAAGGGGGGCAAGUGUGAACGGUGAGUGUGGGCGAGGGUGAGUAUGCCCCUCUUCAAAGCCGCCCCAGUGCCCUCUCCCACCGCCGCCGGCGCCGGCUGCCAUCUCACCACCUUUGCUCCUGUCUCCCCACAUGUCUCACCUUCAGAUGGCGGCUCCCAGAAGCUCCUGCCCCUCUGACAGCUGUCGCUUGGGCAGCCGGGGAGACGAAUUGUCCUCCUUCCUGGUGCCAGAGGACGCAGGAAAUUAGCCAGGUUGCGAGUUGCGAAGCGGCCGCCGCGGCGCCGGGAACUGGACGCGCCCCACCUCCAGCGGGAGCGGCCGGGCCGGGCCGGGCCGGGGCCUCGUCUCGCUCGCCAUCGCCGGACAAAGCGCAGCCAAGCCCGGCUGGAAGGCAGAGCUCCGAAGCAGGCAGGACGGAGCGGAGCAAAAGAAUGCGGCUCUAUUCUCGCAAGGGAAAUUAUAAAAAAGUUCAUGUUCACGGUUCCCAUCCACAUGACCGACAGCGGCCAAUGGAAGGGCCGAACAACUCAUAAAGUUGUAUUGCAAAGUUGUAAA
Molecule: long non-coding RNA, 5251 nt
Filed under: Lynx pardinus (Iberian lynx)
Lineage: Eukaryota; Metazoa; Chordata; Mammalia; Carnivora; Felidae
Source: RNAcentral